UUGAUAAUUGUGUUUCAUCCAGUAUCUUUUCAUGGAAAUAUUCUUCUGAGCAUUCUUGAAUUUUACUCUACAAAGCAGUAUCAUGUUGACAAUUUGGACGUUAUUGGUUCUUGGACAAAUUAAUUCUUGAACUUGUUAUAUUGAAUUCUUAUAUCAUUGUCUUCAUCCUCAUAUUUAUAUAUUUUUUUUAAAGUCAUCUGUGGCCUGUAAUGCAUAGAUGGACUUGGUAUGAUUAUGACCAGGGAUUAUUCGGUGUAAUCAUGACCGUAAUGUUACAAAUGAUGUCGUAAAAGUCCUCAUUGGCCUGUAGUGUAUUGAUGGACAGUUGUUACCAUGAUCAUGACCAUUAAUGAAUACACAAAUAUUCUUGGCCCGUAGUGCAUGGAUAAUUGUGGUCGUGAUACUAAAG
This 409-nucleotide long non-coding RNA is filed under the name Panax ginseng (ginseng). Its description in RNAcentral is "long non-coding RNA (PGIN_LNC018662)". Lineage: Eukaryota; Viridiplantae; Streptophyta; Magnoliopsida; Apiales; Araliaceae. The record is from RNAcentral.